CUCCAACGAGCGCAACCCUGACCGAGCAACGCCGCGUGAGUGAAGAAGGUUUUCGGAUCGUAAAGCUCUGUUGUAAGUCAAGAACGAGUGUGAGAGUGGAAAGUUCACACUGUGACGGUAGCUUACCAGAAAGGGACGGCUAACUACGUGCCAGCAGCCGCGGUAAUACGUAGGUCCCGAGCGUUGUCCGGAUUUAUUGGGCGUAAAGCGAGCGCAGGCGGUUUGAUAAGUCUGAAGUUAAAGGCUGUGGCUCAACCAUAGUUCGCUUUGGAAACUGUCAAACUUGAGUGCAGAAGGGGAGAGUGGAAUUCCAUGUGUAGCGGUGAAAUGCGUAGAUAUAUGGAGGAACACCGGUGGCGAAAGCGGCUCUCUGGUCUGUAACUGACGCUGAGGCUCGAAA
This 400-nucleotide ribosomal RNA is filed under the name uncultured bacterium. RNAcentral describes it as "bacterial SSU rRNA". It matches the Rfam family "Bacterial small subunit ribosomal RNA", at positions 366 to 758 of the family's 1533-position model. The record is from RNAcentral.